CCACAUUUGUCUUUGUUAGAGAAUUCAGCAAGCAUAGGAAGCCUUGCAAGAACAACUUCUCUCCAUUUCAGUUAUAGAAAAUAGAGUGAUGUUUAUAGAAAAAUCUACAACCCUUGCUUGUAAGAGUAAAAUCAGCAAAAAAAGCAUUGCGUCUCUUCUAGGUUCGUUAGAGGAGAAUCAACAGAUAGAGAUACUCACGGCUCUGUGCUCCAUCUUCUAAAAGCCGUGGCAUGUGUUAAAAGAAGAACUCCAGACUUCUCUUGCCACUACUCAUCACUUAUCGCUCAUCAGAAUUGCUCAUCUGUUGGUCUAGCUCUUGUCAAUUGCUGCUUGAUAAAAAAAUUAUGCAUUCUCAGAGUGCUCUUCUCAUCAAAGCUCAAGAAUUCCAAUAUGAAUCUAAUGUUCAAGAAAAUAUGGAGCAAGUUGAAGUUCAAGAGUUCUUUUACCAAUUUGAUUCGGGGUAGUUUAAAGAUGUCUUAUUAUUUAGAUAUGCUGAAUUUUUUCUCUUUUUUGGAGUUGGUAAAGAUAGAUCAUACUAACUUGAAUAUGAUCUAUCUUUCUUUAAUUAGUUAUUUGUAUUAAC
Solanum stenotomum is the source of this 583-nucleotide long non-coding RNA. RefSeq lists it as uncharacterized. NCBI's taxonomy places the organism in Eukaryota, Viridiplantae, Streptophyta, Magnoliopsida, Solanales, Solanaceae. The transcript is spliced from 3 exons. The record is from RefSeq and is a predicted model, not a curated record.